RNAcentral lists this ribosomal RNA (468 nucleotides) under uncultured bacterium. RNAcentral describes it as "partial 16S ribosomal RNA". It matches the Rfam family "Bacterial small subunit ribosomal RNA", at positions 28 to 507 of the family's 1533-position model. The record is from RNAcentral.
GACGAACGCUGGCGGCGUGCUUAACACAUGCAAGUAGAACGGAAAGGCCCUGCUUUUGUGGGGUGCUCGAGUGGCGAACGGGUGAGUAACACGUGAGUAACCUGCCCUUGACUUUGGGAUAACUUAAGGAAACUGGGGCUAAUACCGGAUAGGAGCUCCUGCUGCAUGGUGGGGGUUGGAAAGUUUCGGCGGCUGGGGAUGGACUCGCGGCUUAUCAGCUUGUUGGUGGGGUAGUGGCUUACCAAGGCUUUGACGGGUAGCCGGCCUGAGAGGGUGAGCGGCCACACUGGGACUGGGAUACGGCCCAGACUCCUACGGGAGGCAGCAGUGGGGAAUAUUGCACAAUGGGCGGAAGCCGGAUGCAGCAACGCCGCGUGCGGGAUGACGGCCUUCGGGUUGUAAACCGCUUUCGCCUGUGACGAAGCGUGAGUGACGGUAAUGGGUAAAGAAGCACCGGCUAACUACGUG